This 1764-nucleotide long non-coding RNA is filed under the name Nicotiana benthamiana. Its description in RNAcentral is "long non-coding RNA (NBEN_LNC023713)". Lineage: Eukaryota; Viridiplantae; Streptophyta; Magnoliopsida; Solanales; Solanaceae. The record is from RNAcentral.
AAGAGAAGAGUAGAAAACUGAAGUUUCAGUUAAUCUUUCGACUUUGGAAGUUGCCAUUUGGAAAGUACAUACUGUUCGGACUUACAACUGGUACUUCCCUGCUAUGUUGAAUUUCCGUUUGACAAAAUUGUCUUUAGCACCCUGAAAAUUACAGUAUUUUCUAUGUAAGUGGUGUUCCUUUUGCAAACUCGAUAUACCUGACUUUGAAAUCUAUAGCAUAUAUACUCUUUUGUUAAAGAGAGAUCAUUAACAAUGAGCUCUAUGUAGAUGUAUCCUAUUGUUGGGGAACGAUACAAAUGCAAAGAUUGUAAGGAAAAAAUAGGCUUCGACCUUUGUGAAGGGUGCUAUAAAAGCUCCUCGAAGCUCCCUGGCAGAUUUAAUCAGCAACACACACCAGAACACCAAUUUGAUCUAAUACAGCCACUUCAAGUGAGAAAUGUGGUCCUGAGGCUUCAACCUGAACAACUUGAAGAGGAUGGCUCCAUUGGCCUGCUUGAAUAUAUCGACGAGGACAGUUCUGUUGAGGUUGAGCCACAGCACCCGGAAGAAGAUUCCUCAGAGACCAACUCUCCGCGAGACGAAGCAGGGAACAUAUCCUCAAAUGACACUAGAGAAGAUCAAGGAGGGAGAGAAUCUGCAAACAGAGAUUAGAUGUUACUUUAUGAAUUGCUACUACUCUUGUGAUCAUUAUCUCAAUAAUACUUGGUGAAGGAAUUCAGGUCCUAUCAAGACAUGGGAAUCACUUUCCGGCUCUACCUCUUUUGCUGCCUGGUAGACUUGAAGAGGACGGCUCCAUUAGCCUGCUUGAAUAUAUCGACGAGGACAGUUCUGUUGAGAUUGAGCCACAGCACCCGGAAGAAGAUUCCUCAGAGACCAACUCUCCACGAGACGACUUAAGAGAUGGUCAAGCAGGGAACAUAUCCUCAAAUGACACUAGAGAAGAUCAAGGAGGGAGAGAAUCUGCAAACAGAGAUUAGAUGUUACUUUAUGAAUUGCUACUUUGUGAUCAUUAUCUCAAUAAUACUUGGUGAAGGAAUUCAGGUCCUAACAAGACAUAUGGGAAUCACUUUCCGGCUCUACCACUUUUGCCGCCUGGUAUGGCUCUUCUCGUAUCAUACUGUACAGCUUUUUAUUUUUAAAGUUACUGUUUGGCUGAACCUUUGUACAUAUAUUAGAGUUAUGUUUCAUACAGUCUAUUGAAAGAGAAGAUAAUAUUGCGACUCGUUCUGAUAUAUGAAUACUGCUGUUUGAGUUUCUUAUGUAAUAGACAUGGGAUUUUAGUGCAUUCUUGGUUGCUCACUAAAAAGUUCUCUAAAUUUGCAGACGUUGAAUUGUUCCUUUGUGAAUAUGGCUUGUCACUUUAUGUCCUCUCUUUUUUUCUUCCUUUUCUUUCUUGAGCCAGACUACAGCUAGAGCCAAUCGAGUCGAUCAGAAUGUUUUUAUUUCAUAUUCUCAAGUUGAAGUAUGUGACUAUCUGUCUUCUAAAUAGCACCCGGGAAAAGCACGUAAUAAGUGUAGAUCUUUUACCAGAAUGAUAUCUUCAUAAGCGUCCAAAGCUGCCUUCUCAUUGGUUGUGAAAAAUCAAGAAAAUAACAAAUAAAAGGAUAUUUGGGCAAAGUAAUCCUAUUUGUUGGUCUUUCUAUAUUCAUUUCCCUCUGCCCAAAAUGAAGCAGAGGCAGUGGUAGCCAUGUUGGGUAUUUCAAGAAUGGUAGACUGAAAGACUAAUGUUGUGUUUUGGUCUUUUAAUAGUAAGGUCGAAGACUU